This is a long non-coding RNA of Oncorhynchus tshawytscha (Chinook salmon), 1074 nucleotides long. The record is from Ensembl. Lineage: Eukaryota; Metazoa; Chordata; Actinopteri; Salmoniformes; Salmonidae.
CCUAUAACCCCUCCUCCUCCUCUACUACAGACACCUAUAACCCUCCUCUACUACAGACACCUAUAACCCCUCCUCCUCUACUACAGACACCUAUAACCCCUCCUCCUCUACUACAGACACCUAUAACCCCUCCUCCUCCUCUACUACAGACACCUAUAACCCCUCCUCCUCCUCUACUACAGACACCUAUAACCCCUCCUCCUCCUCUACUACAGACACCUAUAACCCCUCCUCCUCUACUACAGACACCUAUAACCCCUCCUCCUCCUCUACUACAGACACCUAUAACCCCUCCUCUUCCUCUACUACAGACACCUAUAACCCUCCUCCUCCUCUACUACAGACACCUAUAACCCUCCUCCUCUACUACAGACACCUAUAACCCCCUCCUCUACUACAGACACCUAUAACCCCCCUCCUCCUCUACUACAGACACCUAUAACCCCUCCUCCUCCUCUACUACAGACACCUAUAACCCUCCUCCUCCUCUACUACAGACACCUAUAACCCCCCUCCUCCUCUACUACAGACACCUAUAACCCUCCUCCUCUACUACAGACACCUAUAACCCCCCUCCUCCUCUACUACAGACACCUAUAACCCCUCCUCCUCUACUACAGACACCUAUAACCCCCCUCCUCCUCUACUACAGACACUUAUAACCCCUCCUCCUCUACUACAGACACCUAUAACCCCUCCUCCUCUACUACAGACACCUAUAACCCCCUCCUCCUCUACUACAGACACCUAUAACCCUCCUCCUCCUCUACUACAGACACCUAUAACCCUCCUCCUCCUCUACUACAGACACCUAUAACCCCUCCUGAGAUGUGAUCAUGGCAGAGCGAACCCUGCUAGCUGUUGCUUUCUACUCUUUACGUUUGUUUUGUUUCGGGGGGUGCUGACCUCUGACCCAUUGACCUUGCUACUGUUCCAGAGAUAUUCUGACCUUUGACCCAUUGACCUUGCUACUGUUCCAGAGAUAUUCUGACCUUUGACCCAUUGACCUUGCUACUGUUCCAGAGAUAUUUUUGAUUAAAGCAUGUUUCUGCUCAAUAAACAUUUUAGUUUUCA